This 254-nucleotide ribosomal RNA is filed under the name uncultured bacterium. Its description in RNAcentral is "partial 16S ribosomal RNA". It matches the Rfam family "Bacterial small subunit ribosomal RNA", at positions 524 to 776 of the family's 1533-position model. The record is from RNAcentral.
UACAGAGGUCUCAAGCGUUGUUCGGAUUCAUUGGGCGUAAAGGGCGCGUAGGCGGCCACGACAAGUCACUUGUGAAAUCUCCGGGCUUAACUCGGAACGGUCAAGUGAUACUGUCGGGCUAGAGUGCGGAAGGGGCAACUGGAAUUCUCGGUGUAGCGGUGAAAUGCGUAGAUAUCGAGAGGAACACCUGCGGCGAAGGCGGGUUGCUGGGCCGACACUGACGCUGAGGCGCGAAAGCUAGGGGAGCGAACGGG